This 696-nucleotide ribosomal RNA is filed under the name uncultured bacterium. Its description in RNAcentral is "bacterial SSU rRNA". It matches the Rfam family "Bacterial small subunit ribosomal RNA", at positions 32 to 715 of the family's 1533-position model. The record is from RNAcentral.
AACGCUAGCUACAGGCUUAACAUAUGCAAGUCGAGGGGAAACGACAUCGAAAGCUUGCUUUUGAUGGGCGUCGACCGGCGCACGGGUGAGUAACGCGUAUCCAACCUGCCCACCACUUGGGGAUAACCUUGCGAAAGUAAGACUAAUACCCAAUGAUAUCUCUAGAAGACAUCUGAAAGAGAUUAAAGAUUUAUCGGUGAUGGAUGGGGAUGCGUCUGAUUAGCUUGUUGGCGGGGUAACGGCCCACCAAGGCGACGAUCAGUAGGGGUUCUGAGAGGAAGGUCCCCCACAUUGGAACUGAGACACGGUCCAAACUCCUACGGGAGGCAGCAGUGAGGAAUAUUGGUCAAUGGGCGAGAGCCUGAACCAGCCAAGUAGCGUGCAGGAUGACGGCCCUAUGGGUUGUAAACUGCUUUUAUAAGGGAAUAAAGUGAGUCUCGUGAGACUUUUUGCAUGUACCUUAUGAAUAAGGACCGGCUAAUUCCGUGCCAGCAGCCGCGGUAAUACGGAAGGUCCGGGCGUUAUCCGGAUUUAUUGGGUUUAAAGGGAGCGUAGGCCGGAGAUUAAGCGUGUUGUGAAAUGUAGACGCUCAACGUCUGCACUGCAGCGCGAACUGGUUUCCUUGAGUACGCACAAAGUGGGCGGAAUUCGUGGUGUAGCGGUGAAAUGCUUAGAUAUCACGAAGAACUCCGAUUG